RNAcentral lists this ribosomal RNA (253 nucleotides) under uncultured bacterium. RNAcentral's name for it is "partial 16S ribosomal RNA". It matches the Rfam family "Bacterial small subunit ribosomal RNA", at positions 524 to 776 of the family's 1533-position model. The record is from RNAcentral.
UACAGAGGUCUCAAGCGUUGUUCGGAUUCAUUGGGCGUAAGGGGUGCGUAGGCGGCGCGGUAGGUCGGGUGUGAAAUCUCGGAGCUUAACUCCGAAACUGCAUUCGAUACUGCCGUGCUUGAGGACUGGAGAGGAGACUGGAAUUUACGGUGUAGCGGUGAAAUGCGUAGAUAUCGUAAGGAAGACCAGUGGCGAAGGCGGGUCUCUGGACAGUUCCUGACGCUGAGGCACGAAGGUCAGGGGAGCAAACGGG